This 5419-nucleotide long non-coding RNA is filed under the name Gossypium barbadense (sea-island cotton). RNAcentral's name for it is "long non-coding RNA (GBAR_LNC000131)". The record is from RNAcentral. Lineage: Eukaryota; Viridiplantae; Streptophyta; Magnoliopsida; Malvales; Malvaceae.
ACAAAUGAUGGCUUUGCUUAUAACGUUUUGUUAGACUACACAGUGGCUAACUCGUCCAUCGGGACCGGAAAUCUCAUCUUGACAAGGCCGAAAUACAACAGCACAUUGUCGAUUCUUCGACUCGGGAUCGAUGGAAACCUGAGGGUUUUUACCUACUAUGACAAGGUUGAUUCACAGGCAUGGGAAGAGACUUUCACUCUCUUCUCUAGGGACUCAAUAUGGGGCACUGAAUGCGAACUGCCGGAGAGGUGUGGGAACUUUGGACUCUGUGAGGAGAACCAAUGCGUUGCUUGCCCGUCAACAAACGGAUUACUCGGUUGGAGCCAGAAUUGUCAGCCGAAGAAGGUGAAUUGUAGGCCGAAUGGUUUCAGCUACUACAAGCUAGAAGGAGUUGACCAUUUCAUGAGCCAGUACAACGAAGGAGAAGGGAUAAAGGAGAGUGAUUGUGGGAGGAAAUGCACCUCUGAUUGCAAGUGUUUGGGGUACUUUUACCACAGGGAAACAUCCAAAUGUUGGAUCGCUAAUGAGUUGAAAACCCUUGCUAAAACCUCUAACUCUUCCCAUGUUGGUUAUAUAAAGGCACCCAACAAGUGACGGGAAUCCUAUUAAGUAUUUGUACUUUUUCCUCUGUAUUUUCCAGUUUCUUUAUUGUAAGCUAAUAAGUAUUUGUAAGUUUGAAUUACAAAUUAAAGUUUUAUUUAAAAGUAUCAAUCAAGUGUAUUUGUAGUCAAUAAACUAAAUUCGAAAUGCAUUGAGUGGAUCAAGUGCAAGUUCUCAUGGCUCUUCUCUUUUGGCGCAUAAACGAAUAGAGACAGAAUGGUACAGAAUAGUAAAGGAACUCUGUAGUGUUCCCAGAAUAGGAAAACUAUUUUUGUUAAUCAAUACUUAUUUUUCUUAAAAUCUUAAAUUAAAUUAAAUUAAAUUGAUACCAUUAACUUGAAAUAUCGUGAUCUAAAAUUUCUAUAUUGCAUCAUGUUUUGAUUGGUAUUAUCAAUAUAAUAUUGAGAAAAGGGGAUGGAAGAUAACAGAAUUUAAAUUCAUAUAAUUUAAGUGCUUGUGAGAAGCUUUCAUUAUUGCUCUAAAUAUCUGUUGGUUUAGUUGAUAUGAUGAAAGGUUGAAAAAAAUUUUAUUUUUUUAAGGAAUUUAUCGAAGUGAAUUAAUCCUUCAUAUUAUGUAAGUUUAUUAAGAGAUUAGAUAUUAAUCACGAUUUUUAAAGGUGCUUUAUACUUAGGACAAGUACCAAAACCUUAAUCAUUGAUGAAGGUAGGAGAAAAUUUUAUAUCUUCCCUAAACAAUUGGAAUAUAUUUAAAUUGUGAAGUUGAAAUAUGAAAGCAAUUAAUAGCUAAAAUUUUGUUACCAGAUACAGCGCAAUCUAAACCACAAGCGAGGGUCCCGUAGAGAUGCUUUGUUGCCUUAUCUUCCAACCGGCCCGCCAUUUAGAUGUAAUUGCACCAUAGCUAAGCUUGAUGUCUUCAAGACUUUCAAAGCCGUCACAAAAGACUCAAACCAACGGUGGCUUGCUCGUGUUUAUCCAUUACAAUAUCUCCUAACACUGAAAAAUUAGUAAAGUAUAUUUUUAUAAAUAAAGUAAUUAUAUUAUUAUGAAUUUAAUAUAAAUUUAAUAUAAAUUUAAUUACGAUGAAAUUUGAAUUCAUAAUAUAAUGAAUUUUAAAUAUUUAAUUUUAUUUUUUAAAUCACAUAUAAUUUCUACCUCAAGUUUUAAUAAAUAUAUUAUUGUUACAUAAAUCGUGGGUAUGACUUAAUUUAAUAAAUUGUUAAAUAACUUAUGAACAUCUCUUUUAUCACUAAAAUUUUAAACUAAAAGUGAAUAAUUUAUUUACCUAAAUAAAUAUAAAUGUGUAGUUAAGGUUUAGUGCAGGGGCUUUGGCCUCCUAAAAAUUAGAAAAUUAAAAUUCUAGUUCUCUGUAAAUGAUCAAAUUAUAAAUUAAUAUAAGGGAAAAUUCUGCUUUGGUUUUCUAAAAAAUUUCCGAAUUCACCCCUAGUUUAGGGCAUUAUUUUCAUAAACAUAUUGAAUUAGUUAAUUAGAUCAGUUGAACCGAGAAUCAACUGAAGUAGUACUAAAUACACAAAUCAUCAUCUAUACCUAUACCAAAAUUAUUUUUAUCAGAUGCACUAACAUUGAAAACUAUUUUUUUUCACAAGUAAGUUGGUGGUGGUGACAAAUGUCUCAUUUAUUUAAUUUUAAAAAAAAAUUAAAAUUAUUCAAAAGAUACUCAUCAUCAUGGUAAGAAUACAAGUGAAUUUAUGAUAAACUAAAUAAUUAUCUAUUACUUAUUGGUCGAUUGAAUUGAUGCCACCAGAUGAAAAUCACUUAUAAAUAAUUAUAAGACACGUUAAAAUAUACAUAUAGUGACCUAAACCUAAGAGACACUACUUUAGUUUCCUUGCUGAACUUCAAAACUUUAUUUGCUUGCCAGUAACUAUAGAUAAAAAUAAUAAUACAAGUUAGGAUAUGAUAUGAUUGGUUAUCCCCACGAUUGUAGAUAUAAAUUUUGUUUUACAAUUAAAAAUAUAGAAAGGAAGAUCACUUAGACACACUACGUGUCCCAGCUUGCCUUUACGCAAAAUGAUAAUGAAUUUAUUUAUUAAUGUUUUGAUGACCAAGUUUUUCCAUAAUCUUGACCUCUUAAUAAAUAAUUUACAUGAUGCUGACCCUCUAAAUUUAACUAAUUAAAUCCUAUCUAUUUAUCAAUAUUUUAUAAAUCUUAAAACAUGACAAAUUAUGAAAUAAUCUAACAGAGACAUGCACGUAACCAUAGGGUUUAUAAGAACUGUCUUGUCUGUAGCAAAUUGAAGAAACGUUUUUUGGCGUCUCACCUUCUAAAUUAUGUCGUUUUAUUAUAGUAUAAAUGAUUGAUGCUUUAGCUUUGAUUUUUGUUUCCCUUUUAUAGGAAUAUUAAAAUGCCAAGUGUAGAUAAUGCAAGACAGGAAAUGACAGCGGGUGGGCCUAGAAUCCUGAAAUUAUUUUGGUCAAGCAAGGCCCUUUUAAUUAUUAAUUGAGCAGCCAACUUUUGCCAAACUAUUAAAGUUGAGGUCUUAUUCUUCCUCCACUCCCUGUAAUAUCGAGAACUUUAAAUUUAAGUCCUACCUUUCAUACUAGUCCCUUUACUUGUUUGUUUGAAAAUUAAAGUACAAUUGAUGACACUUUUAUUGAAUUUGAGUUAUCAAUUGGACUUCAUUCAAUUUUUAAAUCAGACUUUUGAUUUUUUUUUAAGUUUUACUAUUACAAAUACAAUACAAGUACAAAUAUAUGUCCGAUCAACUAUAAUAUAGAAUCAAACCAACACAAAGGCAAAACCCUCACAUGGUAAAUGUGUAUGGUGAGAUAAGAGACUCAUUGCAAUUAUGCAUGAUGAACUCAAACUUGGGUAUUCAAAUUUAAAGAAAUUUCAUUAAUACUAUUAUCAAUUAAACUUUAAAUUUUAAGUUAAACAACCGGAGGGAUUUAAUUUUUGGAGCUAAAGACAUAGGGAUUAAAAUUUUAAGGUCUUAAGAUUACACAGACUGUGGGGAGAAUUAAACCAAAAUUUAAUUACUCUCUUUUCAAUCGACUUAAAUAUUUAGCCUAAGUCAAUCCUAAUCCUAAAUUUAAGAGAAGCUAAUUAAACAUUUAAAUGGCUUACUUCUGAAGGGAAAAUUGUUCAGUCGGCGGUGCAAUUCGAAGAAUAAUUAUAGUUCCAUUGUAGCAGCCUCUGCUUUAACUUGGCUGACCAGAUUUUGGAAUAUCAACAUCGAUUGCACCUAAGAUAAUAUAAGGUCAAAAUCAUUGUGGAUCAGAUUGAUAUCUUCUAGUAGAAGGCAAAGAUUGUGUUUUUUUUUUUUCAAAAUAUUUUUGAAAACCCAAUUUUUUAAUCUCAUGAAUCUAUUUUAUUAUACCUUUGAUGGUAUGCAAUGUGCCUUCAUUGAAUCCUUAUAAAUAGACCAUGCUUGGUUGCUCCAUCUCCAUAUCAUCAAAGCUACCAUAUCCAAAAAUGUCUCUUUACCCUUCUCUCACCAUGUCAUUGCUGUCUUUUUCCUUGUUGUUGCUGUUUGCUUUUAGUGCCAAAGCUGUUGUUCCCCCAUCUGAAACUUUUAGGUUUGUCAACGAAGGGGAAUUUGGGCCUUUUAUUGUUGAAUAUGGUGCAGAUUACCGUGUCAUAAGCAUAGCUAAUGCCCCCUUCCAGCUUGCGUUUUAUAACACCACCCCUAAUGCCUUCACCCUUGCGUUACGCAUGGCUACAACGCGUUCCGAGUCGCUCUUCCGAUGGGUUUGGGAGGCCAACAGGGGGAACCCUGUUCGCGAGAACGCCAUGUUCUCUCUCGGGACUGACGGGAACCUUGUCUUGGCUGAUGCCGAUGGUCGGAUUGCUUGGCAAAGUAACACUGCCAACAAAGGUGUGGUAGGGUUCCAAUUGUUGCCUAAUGGUAACAUGGUGUUACACGAUUCCAAUGGCAAGUUCAUUUGGCAAAGUUUUGAUCAUCCAACUGAUACACUCUUGGUGGGUCAGUCGAUUAGAGCCGGAGGGGCGACGAAGCUUGUGAGUCGGGCUUCUGCUCAAAACAAUGUCAACGGAGCCUAUAGCUUGGUGAUGGAGCCUAAACAGUUGGUUUUGCAGUACAAGGGAAUGAACUCUCCUAAACCACUUGUCUAUUUCAAAUCAUCCGUUUGGCCAAGUACACAAGAUGGUACUUUACAAACUGUGACACUAAAUGUCGAGGAAACAAAUGAUGGUUUUGCUUAUGACGUUUUGUUAGACUACACAGCGACUAACUCGGCCAUCGGGACCGGAAAUCUCAUCUUGAUAAGGCCGAAAUAUAACAGCACAUUGUCGAUUCUUCGACUCGGGAUCGAUGGAAACCUGAGGGUUUUUACCUACUAUGACAAGGUUGAUUCACAAGCAUGGGAAGAGACUUUCACUCUCUUCUCUAGGGACUCAAUAUGGGGCAAUGAAUGCGAACUGCCGGAGAGGUGUGGGAACUUUGGACUCUGUGAGGAGAACCAAUGCGUUGCUUGCCCGUCACCAAACGGAUUACUCGGUUGGAGCCAGAAUUGUCAGCCGAAGAAGGUGAACUGUAGACCGAACGAUUUUAGCUACUACAAGCUAGAAGGAGUGAACCAUUUCAUGAGCCAGUACAAUGAAGGAGAAGGGAUAAAGGAGAGUGAUUGUGGGAGGAAAUGCACCUCUGAUUGCAAGUGCUUGGGGUACUUUUACCACAGGGAAACAUCCAAAUGUUGGAUCGCUAAUGAGUUGAAAACCCUUGCUAAAACCUCUAACUCUUCCCAUGUUGGUUACAUAAAGGCACCCAACAAGUGAUGGGAAUCCUAUUAAGUAUUUGUACUUUUUCCUCUGUAUUUUCCAGUUUAUUUUUUGUCUGCUAAUAAGUAGUUGUGAGUUUGAGUUACAUAUUAAAAGUAAU